CACAAUUUCAAGACAUUUCAAAAUCGCCCGCUUCCCUGCUUCUCUCUCUCUCUCGAUUCCAGAUCUGGAUCUGGAACUAGGGUUUUCCUCCAAGGCGAUUCAAGCUGCUACUCAGAAGGAUCUUACAUCUGGUACACAAUAUCUUCUUCCUAUCAACCCUAAACUUAAUGGAGAUGGUGGAAAGGGUGGUCGGAUAUGUUCCGAGUUAAAAUCUAGGGCUUCCAUGCCGUUCGGAACCAAAACACUCCGAUUAGGGUUUUGUGUGAGAGAUGGUGCUGAAAAAAUGAAGCAACUUAAGAACCAUUAGCAGUGUGCUUGAAGACGAGUCCGAGAAAGGGAUGCCCACUAUCGCUGGAAAAUCAAGAAGUGAAUCAAAGGACAAGGAAAAGAAGCAUAAAAGGCACAAGGACAAAGACCGAGACAAGGACAAAGAGCAUAAAAAACAUAAACAUCGUCAUAAAGAUCGAAAUAAAGAUAAGGGCAAAGAAAAAAAGAAGGAUAAAAGCAGUCAUCAUGACAAGAAAAGGAAGCAUGAUGGAAUUAUGGAAACGAAGAUGUCAGUGACACUCACAAGCAGAAGAAAAGUAAGCAUAAGAACUCAAAGAUUGAUGAGAUAGGAGCGUUUAAGAUAGCAGCUUGAACCACAGAACCUGCAAUCAGAGUGGGCUACUGUAGGUUGAGACCACCGGUUAGGCCAAUCUUGCUGAAUCAACCAACCCAGACGGUUCUCGUGCAGCGAUAACUAAAUGAAUUCUGAAUCCGAUUUGGGAGGAAAUCAGAUCGCUCGCCGAGUCUGGAAAGAUUAUUACGUGAAGUUUUACCCACGAACAACGGUGUUUGUGGUAGCCGGCGAACACGAUGAUGGUGUUUUAUGGCGAUUAAGCAGCGGCAACAACGGUGGCUAGCGGCCACAGCCACUCUCCGGCGUUAUCCGUAACCGAAUCAGCGUCGACGGUUCAAGGGUUUUAAGGCUAGAUUAGCUGCAGAUGCGAUUCCGGUCCAAUUUAUCUUCUGGUGAACGUGCUGCUGGCUAAGAGGUUCAGGAAGGUGCACGCCUAGGCGCCCAAGCGAGGUGAAACAUUCUGAAAACCUAAGUACGCAGGCGCGGUGAACCAUUCUAAAAACCGGCUUGAACCAGCUCUGAAGUCUGAACCUGUGUGGAAUACACAUGCGCCCUGCUUGCUUUGGGGCAUCGCUUACGUGCCUUUAGCUUAGCCGACUAGCUCAUCUUUUGCACCUUGAGCCUUUGACUACCUAGAUUAACUUGGUAUACGUUUGUGAAAAUCUUUUCAUUAUGACAACUUGGUAUAAGUAUGCGGAAUUGUUUGAAUUCGGAGAUUUUUUUUUUUGCAACCAUAAAUCGCGGGGUCGUGUAGUUCUGUUUGAGACAAUAAUGUUAAACUAUGAUGAUGUUUAUUGCAGUACAUACCCACUAUUUAGUUUGUUUGGUUUAUUGGACAAUUAUAUAUUAAAUAGGAUUUAUUUUAAUGCAGCUAAGUAACUCGAAGUGUGUUCAAAACGAUUUUUUUUAACUUGGGUUGUACUUUGUCUCUAAUGGGUCAAAAUGGAUAAUCUUUGUUACAGUGGAGAUAGGUCAAACGGGUUGAAAGCCACACAAAGUGUGUACAAAACAAGCAAAACUUCCCAAAUCAUCAUAUUUCGAAGUUUAAUUAUGAUCAUAAUAAUAUAGUAUUUAAUAAUCUUUUAGGAGUUUAUGCAUUAACUGUCUAUAAAGCUUAAGAAAGGAAAAAAAAAAGGUGCUUGCAGGUUGGCCCAACUUGACCAAUAUUAACUCAUACUCAGUUUGACUUGUUUAGGCCCAAUCUAUUCUGACAUGUGACCCAACCCACUCAACCAGCCCUUCUUCCACCUCUAUUAUACUCCAAAAAGUUGGUCAUGUGACACUAAUGUUAAACUAUGAUGAUGUUUAUUACAGUACAUACCCACUCUUAUGAUGGGAAAAAGCCAAGCAUAUGACCGAUUUGUUGUGUAAAAUGUUUGGUUUUAUUGAUGCUACUAGAAGAGGAAGCAGGUUGGUUAACAUUGCGGCUUUUUGAGAUGAAACCACUUGUAUUUAUGGGAUUAUGUAUCAAACAAUUCUUUUGCAAAG
RNAcentral lists this long non-coding RNA (2110 nucleotides) under Helianthus annuus (common sunflower). The record is from RNAcentral. Lineage: Eukaryota; Viridiplantae; Streptophyta; Magnoliopsida; Asterales; Asteraceae.